AUACAUGCAAGUCGAACGCACAGCGAAAGGUGCUUGCACCUUUCAAGUGAGUGGCGAACGGGUGAGUAACACGUGGAUAACCUACCUCAAGGUUGGGGAUAACAUUUGGAAACAGAUGCUAAUACCGAAUAAAACUUAGUAUCGCAUGAUACCAGGUUAAAAGGCGCUACGGCGUCACCUAGAGAUGGAUCCGCGGUGCAUUAGUUAGUUGGUGGGGUAAAGGCUUACCAAGACAAUGAUGCAUAGCCGAGUUGAGAGACUGAUCGGCCACAUUGGGACUGAGACACGGCCCAAACUCCUACGGGAGGCUGCAGUAGGGAAUCUUCCACAAUGGGCGAAAGCCUGAUGGAGCAACGCCGCGUGUGUGAUGAAGGCUUUCGGGUCGUAAAGCACUGUUGUAUGGGAAGAACAGCUAGAGUAGGGAAUGACUUUAGUUUGACGGUACCAUACCAGAAAGGGACGGCUAAAUACGUGCCAGCAGCCGCGGUAAUACGUAUGUCCCGAGCGUUAUCCGGAUUUAUUGGGCGUAAAGCGAGCGCAGACGGUUAAUUAAGUCUGAUGUGAAAGCCCGGAGCUCAACUCCGGAAAGGCAUUGGAAACUGGUUAACUUGAGUGCAGUAGAGGUAAGUGGAACUCCAUGUGUAGCGGUGGAAUGCGUAGAUAUAUGGAAGAACACCAGCGGCGAAGGCGGCUUACUGGACUGUAACUGACGUUGAGGCUCGAAAGUGUGGGUAGCAAACAGGAUUAGAUACCCUGGUAGUCCACACCGUAAACGAUGAACACUAGGUGUUAGGAGGUUUCCGCCUCUUAGUGCCGAAGCUAACGCAUUAAGU
Molecule: ribosomal RNA, 833 nt
Filed under: uncultured bacterium
Lineage: Bacteria
Description: bacterial SSU rRNA
Rfam family: Bacterial small subunit ribosomal RNA
Source: RNAcentral